UCAAGCGCGAAAAGGGCGUUUGGUGAAUGCCUUGGCAGUAAGAGGCGAUGAAAGACGUGAUACUCUGCGAUAAGCCAUGGGGAGCUGAGAAUAAGCUUUGAUCCAUGGAUUUCUGAAUGGGGCAACCCACCUGAUACUGUGUUAUUUAUUCUACCUAGUUGGAAGUUGUUUGGGGUUCGUCCUCAAGUAGCCGAAUAGGCGGUAGGACAAAAUAAUGCGGUAAACCAGGUAUUUAUAGACUGAAUACAUAGGUUUAUAAAAGCAAACCCGGGGAACUGAAACAUCUAAGUACCCGGAGGAAAGGAAAUCAAUUGAUACUCCCCUAGUAGCGGCGAGCGAACGGGGACCAGCCGAGCCUCAAUUGUGGUUAGAAUGCGUUGGAAUGCGCAACCAAAGUGGGUGAUAGUCCCGUAUAAGAAGCAUGAGAGGACGUAUUAAGUAGGGCGGAACACGUGAAAUUCUGUCUGAAGAUCGGAGGACCACCUUCGAAGGCUAAGUACUCCUUACUGACCGAUAGUGAACCAGUACCGUGAGGGAAAGGUGAAAAGCACCCCGACGAGGGGAGUGAAACAGUACCUGAAACCGAACGCCUACAAUCAGUUGGAGGGACUUUACGUCCUGACAGCGUACCUUUUGUAUAAUGGGUCAUCGACUUGGUCUCACAAGCAAGCUUAAGCCGUUAGGUGUAGGCGCAGCGAAAGCGAGUCUUAAUAGGGCGUUGAGUUUGUGGGAUCAGACCCGAAACCGAGUGAUCUAGGCAUGGCCAGGUUGAAGGUGCAGUAACAUGCACUGGAGGACCGAACCCACAUCUGUUGAAAAAGAUCGGGAUGAGCUGUGCCUAGGGGUGAAAGGCCAAUCAAACUCGGAGAUAGCUGGUUCUCUGCGAAAUCUAUUUAGGUAGAGCGUCAUCCGAAUACCCUCGGGGGUAGAGCACUGGAUGGGUAAUGGGGCCCCACAGGCUUACUGAUCCUAACCAAACUCCGAAUACCGAGGAGUACUAGAUGGCAGACACACGGCGAAUGCUAACGUCCGUCGUGAAGAGGGAAACAACCCUGACCUACAGCUAAGGCCCCUAAUUCAUGGCUAAGUGGGAAAGCAGGUGAGACGACCAAAACAACCAGGAGGUUGGCUUAGAAGCAGCCAUCCUUUAAAGAUAGCGUAACAGCUCACUGGUCUAAAUAAGUUGUCUUGCGGCGAAGAUGUAACGGGGCUCAAGCCAUGAGCCGAAGCUUAGGAUGCAUUUAUUGCAUGGUAGCAGAGCGUAGUGUGACAUAGUUCCAUGUCUCCUUAGCCCUUCGGGGUAUUGGAGACGCGGAGCUUUCUGUGAAGCGGGCCUGUGAGGGAUCCCGUGGAGAGAUCACUAGUGAGAAUGAUGACAUGAGUAGCGACAAAGAGUGUGAGAGACACUCUCGCCGAAAAUCCAAGGGUUCCUGCUUAAAGCUAAUCUGAGCAGGGUAAGCCGACCCCUAAGGCGAGGCCGAAAGGCGUAGUCGAUGGGAACCAGGUUAAUAUUCCUGGGCCAGAUGGAAGUGACGGAUCUCGAGGGUAGUUCAUCCUUAUCGGAUUGAAUGGGCUGCUUAGAGGUCCCUGGAAAUAGCUCCAUCGCUAGAUCGUACCCUAAACCGACACAGGUGGAUAGGUAGAGAAUACCAAGGCGCUUGAGAGAACUAUGUUGAAGGAACUCGGCAAAAUACCUCCGUAAGUUCGCGAGAAGGAGGCCCGGUUCCAAGGCAACUUGGAGCUGGGGGCACAAACCAGGGGGUGGCGACUGUUUACUAAAAACACAGGGCUCUGCGAAGUCGCAAGACGACGUAUAGGGUCUGACGCCUGCCCGGUGCCUGAAGGUUAAAAGGAGGGGUGAGAGCUCUGAAUUGAAGCCCAGGUAAACGGCGGCCGUAACUAUAACGGUCCUAAGGUAGCGAAAUUCCUUGUCGGG
This 1936-nucleotide ribosomal RNA is filed under the name seawater metagenome. RNAcentral's name for it is "bacterial LSU rRNA". It matches the Rfam family "Bacterial large subunit ribosomal RNA", at positions 1 to 1976 of the family's 2925-position model. The record is from RNAcentral.